AGAAAUGAAACCUCCUUUGCAUGACAGGAAGCAGGGGAGUUCCCUGAAGUACGUUUGCAAACCUAAAAACACCCCAAACGCAUCUUUCAUCACCACCUGGAAGCCUAGAGUGUGAAGAGAAACAGAAAGCAAGUCUUAUUCCCUGAGAGGCCAGGCUCACCCUGAUGCUGGCAGAGAGAACCUGCUGUGAUCUCCCUGCCUGCUGGGCAGAUGAGAAACCUGAAGCCCGGAGCAGGGCACAGAAGACGAUGUGGAGCAGGCACUUUGCACAACUGUCUUUGGUGGAGAAUGCCAGUGUGGUCACUCUGUGGGGCCCUGCCCACUGCUCUGCUUCUUACUGCUCUGAGGCGGGGAUAUCCGGAAUCUGCCUGAAAGUGAGGAGGCUAAAAAGGUAGUUUUAAGAAUUUACCUGGGAAGCAAGGAAGAAUACUGACCAGCAAGUCCAAGCUGUUUAUGUGGGUCUGGAUGUUGUGUGCAUCUUCAGAAGGAACUCCCUGGAAGUGCUUCAGUUUGGAACUUCCUGUCUCCCUUAUAACCAUGGCAAAUGGAACCAUCCAUUUGACACACUUCUCUAUAUCACACCACUGAUACCCUGCAAUGAAAAUUAAUUUCAGGUUCAAGCUGAGGCCAACAGUGUUUUCCAAGUUUAAUACACUUUGUGAACAGACUGGAAAGCUAACGUACCUGAAACCUUCUGCAUCAAUUCAGAUGAAGAGAAAUGAUACAAGGCAGAAGCAGCAAGCACACCAUAGGAAAAUUCUAAGCAGCCAACAUCCAGGACACAGAGAUCUAAAAGCUACAAAGAAAAGAACUGAAGUGGAUGGUCAACACACAUCUUUUCUAGAGCUACUCAA
Molecule: long non-coding RNA, 854 nt
Organism: Manis javanica (Malayan pangolin)
Lineage: Eukaryota; Metazoa; Chordata; Mammalia; Pholidota; Manidae
Source: RefSeq, a predicted model, not a curated record